This 375-nucleotide ribosomal RNA is filed under the name uncultured bacterium. RNAcentral describes it as "partial 16S ribosomal RNA". It matches the Rfam family "Bacterial small subunit ribosomal RNA", at positions 355 to 723 of the family's 1533-position model. The record is from RNAcentral.
UGGGGAAUAUUGCACAAUGGGCGCAAGCCUGAUGCAGCCAUGCCGCGUGUAUGAAGAAGGCCUUCGGGUUGUAAAGUACUUUCAGCGAGGAGGAAGGCGUUGUGGUUAAUAACCGCAGCGAUUGACGUUACUCGCAGAAGAAGCACCGGCUAACUCCGUGCCAGCAGCCGCGGUAAUACGGAGGGUGCAAGCGUUAAUCGGAAUUACUGGGUGUAAAGCGCACGCAGGCGGUCUGUCAAGUCGGAUGUGAAAUCCCCGGGCUCAACCUGGGAACUGCAUCCGAAACUGGCAGGCUAGAGUCUUGUAGAGGGGGUAGAAUUCCAGGUGUAGCGGUGAAAUGCGUAGAGAUGUGGAGGAAUACCUGUGGCGAAGGCG